CAAAGAGAGGCAAAGCCGCGAGGUGGAGCAAAUCUCAAAAAAGCCGUCCCAGUUCGGAUUGCAGGCUGCAACCCGCCUGCAUGAAGUUGGAAUCGCUAGUAAUCGCGGAUCAGCAUGCCGCGGUGAAUACGUUCCCGGGCCUUGUACACACCGCCCGUCACACCAUGAGAGUCGGGAACACCCGAAGUCCGUAGCCUGACCGCAAGGGGGGCGCGGCCGAAGGUGGGUUCGAUAAUUGGGGUGAAGUCGUAACAAGGUAGC
RNAcentral lists this ribosomal RNA (261 nucleotides) under uncultured bacterium. RNAcentral's name for it is "partial 16S ribosomal RNA". It matches the Rfam family "Bacterial small subunit ribosomal RNA", at positions 1240 to 1500 of the family's 1533-position model. The record is from RNAcentral.